RNAcentral lists this long non-coding RNA (583 nucleotides) under Setaria italica (foxtail millet). RNAcentral describes it as "long non-coding RNA (SITA_LNC007220)". Lineage: Eukaryota; Viridiplantae; Streptophyta; Magnoliopsida; Poales; Poaceae. The record is from RNAcentral.
GGCUAUGAUGGUGCAACUGCGGAUAUUUGGUCUUGUGGAGUAAUCCUCUUUGUCCUUCUUGCUGGCUAUUUACCUUUCGAGGAUGAAAACAUCAUUGCCCUAUACAAAAAGGUAACAUCAAUGAAUAAGAGGCAACAAAAAUAGAACGAAGAUGCUCUUGUUGCUUAUUAUGUCUUAAUACUCCCUUUCUUGCAAUUACAGAUCUCUAAAGCUCAGUUUACCUGCCCCUCUUGGUUUUCGGCGGGAGCUAAGAACCUGAUUACCAGAAUUCUCGAUCCCAAUCCUACAACUGUAAGGAUCAUAUAACUCUUUAGCAUAGACGCAUAGUUGUUGAAACGGAUCAUAAUCAGCUAAUGAUUUAUGAAACUAUAAGAAUGAAGCUCAAGUGGCAAUAUCAAAUAUACAGCUACUGUGCCGUAUGAUGUGCACGGACCUUUAGCACUAAGAAUGUUAUUCCUGCCCUCCUUUGGAUCUUUGAACAGUUUUGUUUACUGAGUCUUGUCAUCAAUAUUCAAUUGCGGAGAAGUAUUUCUUGAAUCUCAACUUACGUGCCUUUUUGUUGUUUUUGGAUUUUUACCAGCGG